ACCCCCAACAGCCCAACUCUAGUCCUCCAGUACCCCCAACAGCCCAACUCUAGUCCUCCAAUACCCCCAACAGCCCAACUCUAGUCCUCCAGUACCCCCAACAGCCCAACUCUAGUCCUCCAAUACCCCCAACAACCCAACUCUAGUCCUCCAGUACCCCCAACUCUAGUCCUCCAGUACCCCCAACAGCCCAACUCCAGUCCUCCAGUACCCCCAACAGCCCAACUCCAGUACCCCGAACAGCCCAACUCCAGUCCUCCAGUAUCCCCACUCAUUUUUUGUUGUUGGCCCAGAUGACAAAUUCCUCUGAUUCAACUAAUUGAGGAUGAAGUUGAAUCAGGUGUGCUUGUUUGGGGCCUACAACAACAAUGUGUUCUGUUGUAGGACUGGAGGUGGGAAACACUGCUAUAUGGGGUGGAAAAACUACUCAAAUCUCAUUCUGUAGUAAAAGUGAGGAUAUUCUAAUAGAAAAUUACCACUUGAGUAAAAGUAUUUGGUUUUAAAUGUACUUAAGUAUCAAAAGUAAAUGUAGUUGCUAAAAUAUACUUAAGUAUCAAAAGUAUGAAUAAUUAAAAAUUCCUUAUAUUAAGAAAACCAGAUGGCACAAUUUUCUUGUUUUUUUAUUUUUGCUGUGCAAGGGUCACAUUCCAACACUCAGACAUGAUUUAAAAACAACGCAGUUGUGUUUAGUGAGUCCUCCAGAUCAGAGGCAGUAGGGAUGACCAGGGAUGUUCUCUGUUUAGUGAGUCCACCAGAUCAGAGACAGCAGGGAUGACCAGGGAUGUUCUCUUGAUAAGUAUGUGAAUUGGACCAUUUUCUGUCCUGCUAAGCAUUCAAAAUGUACUUUUGGGUGUCAGGGAAAAUUUAUGGAGUAAAAAGUACAUCAUUUUCAUUAGGAGUGUAUGGAGUAAAAAGUCAAAUAUAUAAAUGAUAAAAGUACAGAUAACCCCCCCCUCCAAAAAUGCCUUAAGUACUUUACACCACUGAUGGGUGCUUGGUCCCAGGUAGGGAGGAUGUUUUAUAACCCCACGACAGUAUGACACAGGGAAACUAACUGGCAGUAAUAUUUGCUGCCUUUGAACAUUUUGAAAUGUGUACAUUUAGCUACAUCAAAUGUUGCCCACCUUCCCCAAGUACAACAGAGCUUUACUAUGGUUCUGACUAGGUGGAAUACAGACUUUCUCGUAGCAGGUUAGGAGAAUGAGGUUACGGUUAUGAAAAGGGUUAGCUAAAAUGCUCUCCUAGCCUUCUAUGAAAAGUCACUUCCUGGUUGUGGCUGUACUCCAUCUUGUCCCAAGGUUUUCCCAAACUCUUUUGUUGUUGUUGCCAUAGAUCUACACAGCUGAUUCAAAUAAUCAACGAAUCAUCAAGCUUUGAUCAUUUGAAUCAACUGUGUCGUGUUAGGGGGCAAAAAACUCAAAUGUGCACACCUUGGGGUCCCGAGGACCUUGGGAAACGCUGAUCUAGUCACAACUCUGUAUCAUUGUCUUGACUCACUGUGUGAAUUCCUUCCCUAGUUGGUGAUGCACUGUGACAUGUGUAAAAAAAAAUAUAUUAAAAAAUUGCUGUAUAUGAAUGAGUAUAAAAUAAAGUGAAAUGUUCUAA
This is a long non-coding RNA of Oncorhynchus tshawytscha (Chinook salmon), 1605 nucleotides long. Lineage: Eukaryota; Metazoa; Chordata; Actinopteri; Salmoniformes; Salmonidae. The record is from Ensembl.